UACGUAGGUGACCAGCGUUGUCCGGAUUUACUGGGCGUAAAGAGCGCGCAGGCGGUCGUUCAAGUCGAGUGUGAAAGCCCCCGGCUCAACUGGGGAGGGUCAUUCGAUACUGAUCGACUCGAAGGCAGGAGAGGGAAGUGGAAUUCCCGGUGUAGUGGUGAAAUGCGCAGAUAUCAGGAGGAACACCGGUGGCGAAGGCGGGUCUCUGGGCCGAUACUGACGCUGAGGAGCGAAAGCGUGGGGAGCGAACAGG
This 253-nucleotide ribosomal RNA is filed under the name uncultured bacterium. RNAcentral's name for it is "partial 16S ribosomal RNA". It matches the Rfam family "Bacterial small subunit ribosomal RNA", at positions 524 to 776 of the family's 1533-position model. The record is from RNAcentral.